Molecule: long non-coding RNA, 303 nt
Organism: Xiphophorus couchianus (Monterrey platyfish)
Lineage: Eukaryota; Metazoa; Chordata; Actinopteri; Cyprinodontiformes; Poeciliidae
Exons: 4
Source: RefSeq, a predicted model, not a curated record
UAAAUCGUCGGUAAACAUACAUUUGCACUUUGGCAUGUUGUUGGCGUACUGACAGCCACGCUAUCUAUCUUCUGAUUAAGAACAGGGCUGCCCGCACUGACGCGGCUCAGGGAUUACGUCACACGCAGCGCAGUGCCUUAGUGCCUGUAAAUUUAGGGGUCCAAUGAAGGUAAUUUAAAAACAGGACAUUUCCUCACUUUCUAAAAAAAACCCGGGACGCCCGGGACAGGACGUGAAAUACGGACAUGUCCCGGGAAAUACGGACGUUUGGUCACCCUACCAUAACAGCUGACAAGACAUGUG